GCAAGUUAGAACAGUUUAUUUCCGGUACGAAGCCAGGAUUCAGGCAAAGCAGAUCCCUGUUCUUGACAUGGUUAGAUUUCAAGGGAUGCGAGAUGCAACAUAUAUCCCGAUAUCAAUCACCUCGAAAAGAAGUGCAUCGCUAAAACGCGGCAAAUAAAUGAGUUACAAGGGGAAAUUCAGAAUUUGAAAGAAAAACUGGUAAAUAAAGACAGGCAGAUUGCAGAUAUGCAGGCAAACCAAAACAGAAUGUAUGCAGAGAAUGAUAGUCUAAUGCUCAGAGUGAAAAUGGCAGAACAGACAGCAGCA
Molecule: long non-coding RNA, 306 nt
Organism: Mya arenaria
Lineage: Eukaryota; Metazoa; Mollusca; Bivalvia; Myida; Myidae
Exons: 4
Source: RefSeq, a predicted model, not a curated record